Molecule: non-coding RNA, 24686 nt
Organism: Macaca mulatta (Rhesus monkey)
Lineage: Eukaryota; Metazoa; Chordata; Mammalia; Primates; Cercopithecidae
Source: RefSeq, a predicted model, not a curated record
CACAAAGCCUGUUUGGUGGUCUCUUCAUAUGGAUGUGUGAGACAGUUUUCCUUUCUAAAAUUCUUAUUGCAGCCCAAGAAAUGGGCAGUAACCUGGUGGCUCUCCCAGUUGGCUCUCACCAACUUUCCCAAAACCUUCGCCUGCUUUGUUCUCUCCAUGGGAGUAAGCUAUCACAGCCACCCAGUCUGAAAUUAAGGUCACUGUACCCUUGAUUUCAAGGAAGCUCAAAGAUGCUAAAGACCUUGGAAAUUUCUGGGCUUUGGGAAUCUGUUUCCACUCCAUGACUUCAGAGAUGACCUCAAGCACUAGAGGUUCUAAUGGUGGAGGAGAAGUCAUGGGGUUUGAAGAGGGCAGGCUAAGGCAGUGGUCUUGACGCCAACUUGUCCUUUUUCCUUCAGGGGAGGGUGAAGAACACCUUGUUCUAUGACAGAUCUCUGUUGCAUAAGAAAAAAAAUCAGGUGUGGCCCACAUAUAAGUGGAUAGCAACUUUAUUUAGUUUACUUUUCCUCAGAGAGAAAUAUAGAGUAUUGUGCUGACCCACGUAAAAGAAGUUUAUUCUUUAUAUAAAUAAAGUGAACUUGUUAUAGAGUAUCUGAAAAAUGUUUUUGGUUAUUUUCUUUUGGUCUUUUUUUUUUUUUGGUCCUGUAUAGAGUUUCAGUUUUGUAUCCAAAGUUGGAUCACCCACUAAAAUGUGACUGCUUCAGAGUGAUGUUGCAUCUCCCCCAGGAAAAGUGAAAUUCCCUCAUUGCACACCUCACUGUGUGUUCGUCUUCCUCUCCAUGCUGCUUAUUGCAAUAACAAUUAAAUCUCUAUGAAGACAACUAUUCGCUUAAUUGUGUAACUCCCCUGGAACUACAGUAUUCAGGAUGGUAGCUACUAGACACAUAUGGCUGUUUACUUUUAAAUUAGGUGAAAUUAAAGAAAAUUAACACUUAGCUCCUCUGUUUCACUAGCCACAUUUCAAGAGCCACAUAUGGCUGGGUGACUACCAUCUUGGACAGCGCAGAUCUAGAACAUUUCCAUUAGAGAAAGUUCUGUUGGAUAGUGCUGCUCCAGACAGUACACUCCCAUGGCAUGGGACUCCUGUGGUCCUUACCUGUCUGUGUCAGUGAGUAUCCUAUGCACUUGUAAUCUGAGAAUCUAGGGAAACUUCGGAAAUGCUUUAUUUCUAAAUUAUGGCCAAUUAGAAAGAGGCAGAUGGUGAGGAGAGAAAAAAAAGGCUUUCAGAAGAGCCCUGUGUGACAAUGGUUGGGGGUGGGGGUUACACAGUUCUGGGCCUCACAUGGCACAAUAGUUGGCCAAGAUUCUGCAACUGCAGAGUGCUAAAAAAAAUCAAUGUGUCUAGUUGGAAAACUGUGGGAAUGGGACUGCCUUGAAAUCCCCUUGCAUCAUUUUCUGAGAGGUCCGAAGCAUGGAAGCCUUUGGAGAAGAGGCGUUAUCAACCUGCUCAUCCAGGAGACUAGAUCCCAGGGUGGGCUGUAAGCUAUCAUUGUGGUCUAGACACUGUACCCUGUGUUUCCACCUGGACUGGGACAACUGGUGCCUGUUUUCUGCAGGAGCUCAGAGCUGAGCAGUCCCUGCCCCUGUGUCUUACCUGCUGGAUGCAUUGGUUUGUAACACCCUGUAAUGCUGCUUGAUUCUCUGCUCUCUAGAGCUGCCAUCGGAGUCCUGUCCUGGAGGCACAGGCUGCCUUUUCAAUGGCAUCUGCCACUAUAUAAUGUGAGCCUUCCUCAGCUCCAGUAGGGUCCAGUGGCCAGAUCUGGGUGGCUGGCAGCUUGGCUUUUUGAGAAAGGAAAUCAAUCAGGACAGGCCCUUGACUUUGUUUCCCCAGCAUGCCUUCCUCCCCUCCUCCACCCUUCUUCAGGCAUAGGCUGAAUAAGGAAGGGAGCAAGUCUACAAGGAUAUUUGAGUGGGUUAGGCUGUCCUCCAGAGUGUCAGGGCAGGGGAGGGCAAUGCUUAGGGUCCCAGCCCAGCCACUAGGGUUGUAGCUAGAGCAGUUCAAAGAAGGUUACCUAGAAAACACUACUUGAAAUAAACACCACCUGUAUGCAAUGUGGGAGAGGAAAUGGGGAUAGUGGGAAAGAGUUGUAGGCCAGAAACGCUAGCCAGUGGAAAUCAGACUGGAAGGUCAGGCCAGAUAAAAGGGUGCAGAAGGACUUAAGGACCAAGGUGGCCUGUGCCAGUGCCAACUUCUUACAAAGGACUGGGGCCAAUUAUUCCAUUUGGAUGGAAGCAGCCCCAAGCAUGUGGGACAGAAUGGUCUCAUGAGGAGUGCUUGGCAGUGAUAUAGAUGAAGAUGCCUAGAAGUGCAGACCAAGCCUUUUUAGGUCAUCAGCCAUAUCAGUUAGAAUUAGGUUUAGCAGCAGGGACAGUAUAAUGAAUGGCUUAAGCAAGAUAGAAGUGUAUUUCUCUCUCAAAUUCAGGAAGUCUGGAGUUAAGCAAUCUGGGACUGGUCUAGCUCUUCCAGGAUCACAGGCCUGGGCCCUUUUUAGCUUGUUGCUGUCAUCCUCAGCCCGAGCUUUCUGAUUUGUGGUCUGAAAUGGCUGCUACAGCUCCAGUCAUUAUGUGUGCGUUCUAGCCAGCAGGAAGGAGGAUGGAGAAGCAUAUAUCCCUUUUCUUUAAGGACAAUUCUGAGGAGUUACAUAUACCACUUUCUCUUACAUCCUACUGUCCAUACUGUAGUUACAUAGGCGCACCUAAAUUUAAGGGAAGCUGGGAAAUGUAGUCUUCUUUCUGGGAAGCCACAUGUCCAGCCAUAAUUUGGAUGUUCUGGCUAGCAGUCUCUGCCAUGACAGUUAAUAUAAAGUAUAUUAGUAUGAGUGAAAGUGUAGAUGAAGCAUCUGUUGUUCACCAGGAAAACAUCUAUUGUAAUUAGCAAAGAAGGUUUGUAUUUGUGUUGAAUUUUCUGCCAUCAGCAUAGAGAUCUAUUCAUUGAAUUUACAUGUACUGCCUUGGAUAAGAAACUUUUAGCCUACAAAAGUGGAGCUGGUCAAGCUGGGAAAAGUGAUAAAUUGUGCAUGUGUUUAUUCUUGUGUGCCUGAGGCUUACUGCAUUCAGAACUUGUUUAGAUGUGCAAAGUCAUUAUUGAUGGAGAGGAGUGAAUGAUUUUGUGCAGAUGGGCAGGAGGCCUUUAGAGACCUCCCCUCUGGCAAAUAGGGAGGGUCUGGCCCAGGGACCCCAGGAGGUCCAGAUGUCAGAGGGCAUGGAGGCCAUGAAGAGGUUCCUGUAAGCACAGUGGCAGGGGUCAGAGGCUGGCUGGGACAAGUAGGUCUUUGUGUUGGAUGGAGCAGUUUUGUCUUAGUGCUUGGUGCCUUCCGAAUGGGUGUUGGAAAGAUGUUUUCUUGUGGCUUGGGAUGACAGAGGCUGUCUCUCUCUUUCUUCUGCCUACUGCAGUCUCACUAGGGUGUCCCAUGCAGUGCACUGGAACUGAAGGCAAGGACAAGAUUGAUUGGAAAUGUCAGCUUGUACUCACUUUUGCAGCUGAGCCAUUCAAACUUUUGGAGCUGCAGAUUGCAGCCUGUGCUGGCUUUAUUUGUGCAACUAUUGGCCGUACACAGUGUCACAUAGUGAUUUGAAAUGAUGGCACAUUUAGAAAAUCUGGGAAAUGAAAAAUGGUAAAGGUCUGUCCUGGCACCUUACAUCAUGAGGUAGGACUAUUCUGGAAUCCCCAAGCCCUUUCCACCAAAGGAGUUUGGAACUCAGAGUCAUAAGAUAGGGCCUGGAGUCCUGGCUCAGCCAUUUACCCUCUGAGCAACUUGGGAGUUCCAGGCAGAGGGAAUGACACAUGCAAGGGGCUGUCAGUGUGAAGGAGCAUGGUAUGUUCCAGGAAUGGUAGACAGAGCAUACAUAUAGGGCAGGCUGAGAGGCUGGAAGGGCUGCCUUGAAUGCCAGGCUAAGGAAUUUGGACUUCCUAAGGAAGUACUGAAUGAAUUUUAGGCUGGGGAGGGAUAGGAUCAGAUCUAUGUUAAUACUGUUCACCCCAGUUGCAGUGUAGAGGAUGGUAUAGAAGGGAAUGUAUGGAUUCAGGGAGAUGGCUUAGAACCCUAAGAUUCAUGGUAGCAGGGUCUCGAGCAGGGGCUUGCUUGGACAAACACGUCCUGUGGAGCAGGUUUGUCUUAACUCUCGAUGUCUUUCUGAAUGGGUAUCAAAGAGGGGCUUCCUGCAGCCUGGAUGACAGGGGCUGCCUUCCUUUGUUUGUGGGGAGGGAGGCAUGCCUGGCAACUUCACAGAGGCCCAGGCCAUGGGCAUUGCCAGAAGCUGGGAAAGAGCCCUGGGCAUCAGGCUGAGCAGGCCAUGCUGAAGAGAGCCACCCCAAGUGCCUGGUCCCACGGGCCUUAUUAUCUGCAGCUGGCUUUGAAUGCUCUUUGCAUCAUUCACUGUCUAGGGGCCUUGCCUGAGCCUGAUUUUCCACGAAGUAGGUCAGGAGCUCCUCUGUGGCCGCCUCCACCCCCACCCUUCACUCCAGCCUUCAGGAAAGAUCUGUCUCACCCAGAACUAGGAGAAGUUAGAGGACCUGGGUUCUGCCCAUUGGAAGGCAAAGGAAUGCACAUGUUAUUAGGACCUUGUUCCAAAGCAGUGGCUAUCAUUUAUUGUGCACCUACUAUGUGUAUGCACAAGGCUAAAUACUUUCUGUACAUUUCUCAUUUAAUCCUCCCAGCAGCUCUUCAACAUAGGCAUUAUUAUUCGCAUCCUUCAUAUUAAUCAGUUUAAAAGUAGCAGCCAAGCUGUGUUUGUGUUUGAAAAUGUCUGGCCAGGCGGUCCGCCUCCCAGAGAGGCAUCAGAAAUGAAAAUGACAAGAGUUAAAAAAUAAAAAUAAAAAAAAGAAGACUCCAUAUCCACCCACCUACCCAUCUAUCCAUUCAUCCAUACACAUCCUCCCAUCCACUUACUUAUCUACCCACCCACACACCCACCCACCCAUCCAUCCAUCUGACUGAAAAUUGAUCUGAGUGCCUGCUCUGUGCCAGGUCCUCGGAGAAUUUAUAAGGGAGAAGGAUGAGAAACCUGGAAGACAUCAUCGACAUUCAGGGUAUCUACUGCAGUAGAUACCAAGGCCUGUUUGGGGAAUAGGUGUAUUUGUAUGGUUAGAGGUCAGAGUAUGUGGACAGUGGAUAACACCAGGUGGGUUGGCUGGAUCUAGGUUGGGAAAGGCUUUGAAGGCGCAGUCAAGAUUUUGGGUUUAUCCAGUGAGCAAUGGGAGCCAUCAUACCUUUUACAGCAUUGCAGAGGCAGAAUUUGAUUUGCUGAGGACUAUAGAGACAGGAUUGUAGAUUCUGAGAUGAUGAGCACUGGGAUGUCCUCAAGUGCAGGCAAGAGAUGAUGUGACGGAGCCUCAGGCAGCAGGUGGGCGUGGUUGGCACAGAGAGUGGAAGGCAGAAGUGGAGAGAAUAAAGAGGCAGCAGUGGCAGGAUCUAGUGCAUGGGGAGGAUGCGACAGGGAGCCCUGAUGGCCUCAGGUCCUGGCUGGGUUGACAGGGGCAUGGAGGUGGAGCAGGUGUCCACGAAGGCAGAUGGGAUGGCUGGGUCUCCUCCCUGUGUACCCCAUCUUCCAAAUAUGAUGUGACUCAAGGGUAGCUCAAACAACUGGCUCACUUUGGGCUUGUAAGCCUUCUCAGGGAUACCAGGGCUCACAUUGUGUCACAGAUGCCUGGGAAAGGAAUUCACAGUGGCAGCUUGGCUGAGGGGCUGGGGAGAAGAGGGGCCUAGUCCUGCUUGUUUGCCAAUGUUCUAAAGCUGGGAACCUCCCCAGGGUGUCUCGGCUCCUGGAGAAGUUAGGUCUGUUCUUUUCUGGGGUGCUGUGAUGUGCUCCCCACCCCACAUUUUUCCUUGCAUGCUAGUUGAUGCUCUGUAUGGAAGUGCUUGUCAUUCUGAUGCGGGCAAAAUGACCACACCCCCCUGGGAUCCAGGCCUUCCCUUGGGCACUGCAUCUCUGCAGGUAGCUCAGGACAAUGCAGAAUUUCAAAUACCAUCCCCCAGGGAGCUUCUCCAGCCUUCCCUUCUGUUCCUUUCCCUGGCUUGGCUGUCCCCUGCGUGAAGGACUGACCUUUACACAGGCACUCUAGCUGCUAAAACCUCUUUUGAUGGGAAAACCCUUUUUAGUGGUUUUUUUUUUUUUUAGUCCUGUGGCAACUGCUGCUUGGGAUGGUGGAGGACCACCUGCCAACAAGGUGAUUUUUUCUGAGAGAUGAGCCAGGAUUUCAAGGAGUGUGGCUUGGAUACACUGUGUACAUGCUUAGCUGAAUGUGGCCUGCAUACCCGCCACAGGUGGGUGUGGUUGGCAUAUAUAUUCACAUGGCUGCACACGGACACGCAGCUUGGAAUUUCCCAUCACAGGGUUUGGCUCCCGGUGUGGGACAGGUGACCCAGAGGCCAUGGGAGAAGGAAGGCCUCUUUCCUGAGUCCUUGCCUGCUAGCAGAAUAUCUGCAUUUUUUCCUUCUAUUUAGACUAAGGCUGGUUUCAGCUGUUGCCUUUUCCAUCUAAGUGCUCUUUACCUUUAUGAAAGAGCAUUCAGAGAAGCAGCAUGGAACGGUGGAAAAAGCAGAAGCUGUGCAACUGGUCAAGUCUGACUUGCAAUCUUGGCACUGGGGCCUGCUAUUCGUGUGAACUUGAGCAAGCUACUUUAACUCUCUGAGCUCCCUUUUAUCAUCUGUAAAAUGGGAUGACAGUCAUGCUUUCUCCCUCACAUGGUUAGGUAGUUGGAAAGAUAGCACAGGAAUGAAAUGAUCUGAUACUCUGUAAUUAUUUGGGUGAGGUUCAGGAAGGCAGAGUAGUGUAGUAAUUAAGAACUUUGCCUCUGGAACCAGGUAGAGCAGGGAUCCUAUCCCAACUGUGCCCCUUACAAGUUGUGUGGUCUAGUGCAAGUUACUUAGCCUCUCUGGACUUUAGUUUCCUCAUCUGAGCAAAGUCAUAGGUUUCUUUCAUAGCACCAGACCAGUGUUUCUGAGUGUGAAUUAGAGAUGGGGCGCUUGAGGAAAGUGAAGAUUCGAUUUGGAGGGUGUGGCCAGGUGAUUUUCAUAGCAUGCACACCCAAGUUCAAGAAUUGUGAUGCAUUUAGGACAAAUACCUAAUGCAUGCAAGGCUUAAAACCUAGAUGAAGGGUUGUGGGUGAGGAAACCACCAUGGCACAUGUAUACGUAUUUAACAAACCUGCGCAUUCUGCACAUGUAUCCUAGAACUUAAAAAAAAAAAAAAAAAGAAUUAUGAUGCUUGAUGGUUCGCUUUCUAAGAGCAGGAGCCAUGUCUGUGCGCUUCCCACUGUACCCCAGUGCACAGCAUGGCUUCAGGCAUCUGCCAAGGGCUCACUAAUUUUCGUUUGAAUAAACGAAUUAUAUGACUUAAUGUACCCAAAACGCUUAGCAUAGUGACUAGCACAGAACUAACACAGAAGGAGCUGAGCGGUUAUCAGCGUGUUUCAUUAUUAAUAACAGGGAUGGCCUAUUUCUGAAUAUAAGUCAGCAGCACCUAGCACUCCUGGCUUCCAGAGCAUAUUUACUCCCACUUGUGUAUACUGAAGGCUGGGUCCCCUCAAUGUCCAUUGCAAUGUGCUUGGUUUCCACUGUGGCCGACCAUCCAGAGCUAGGCCUAAUUUAUACUCUCUUGAACAAAGGAGACCAGAUGUCCCACACCUAUGGGGUCCUGGCUAGACCCAUCUGCCAUUGAUUUCUUGCCUCUGGAGGGGCUGACACAGCCUGGGGACCUUCAGUGUUGACGAGGAAGCCUUGUGCACACUGUUGCAGGGCCCAAAAAUCCAUUUUUAUUAAGUUUGUAGGUUAUCGUGACAGAGGACUGGACUGGCUUUUUAUUGUUCAGGUUUCUUGGCUUGGGCCUGGAGUGAGGAAGUGACUUAGGAAAGGCCUUUCCUGUGUGAGGAAGAGCAAGUAUUACCAGAAGCCAUUGGAGCCCAGAGCACCAGAAGAGGAAAUGGGAGCAAUACCACACCCACCCACUGUGGCACAUUCGGGGCCCCAGUCACAUCACCGAGCCAUGGGAUGUAGGAGUCAGUGAUCUUAGCUGGCCCCUCACUUUGCAGAUGUAAAAGCCUAGGUCCUAGGAGCAGAUGGGAUUUGCACCAGGUCAGUGGGUGGCGAGGGGAGGAGCAGAGGCUCUGAUGUGCUUGGCACUGAAGCCAGGCCCUUUCCACCAUUCCAUGCAGCCCUGCCCUUCCCCACAACACUGGCCCCUGGCAUGCCGUGCACCAUUUCCCCACAGUGGGAAAGACUCCAGCAGCACUUGGUGAAUGGUGUCCUGUGCAGAAGCCAGGCCCUUGGUGGGUGGUGAGGACGGUGGGGACAGGGUAGCAGAGAAGGGACAUCUCCGACCUGAAAUGGGUGGCAUGCCCAGUUCCAGAGUGGGUCUGCAUUGAGGCUCCUUUGUCCUCACCACGUCCCCGUCACUCCAGCUGAGGUGGCCUAAGGAUUCCUGCUAUGAGGGAAUGAAGCUAAGACAGUGGACACCUAUGCCACAAAUUCUACUUACUCUCAAGGACCCCUUCAGAGGGGUCUGCACCCAACAACUUGCAGUGGUCACAGAUCAGCCUGGCUGGAAUCAACAACUUUCCGAAAUGAGGCUCUAGAAACAUCCAAGACAUUAUAACCAUUUGGCAGGCUCUGUUCCCUAAGUGGCAGAGAUAGAAAGACCCGAGAAGCUGGCGCCUUCUUAAUAAUAGUAACUAACACUGACCAAGCGCUUUCCAUGCACCAGAUCCUUCCCAAGUACUUUAGACACACUGGUGCAUUUAGUGCCUGCAACAACCUUGUGAGGAAGGUCAUAUCAUUCACUCUUUUUCCACACAGUGGAAAAGGCUGCAGGGUUCCAUGCACCCUGCUCCUCAUCCACGAACUAAUGGAUCCUUCUCAACCACUGAAACUUAGUUACUGACCAUUAAACACUUUGCCCAAAGGCUGAAAGAAAGGCUGUGGCUGAGUCUUAGAAAGCAAAGCAAAGCAAAACAAAACAAAAUCUUAGCACCAAAGUGUUGGAAAGUGCUGUCAAAAGCAGAUCGAUCAGAAAUAACGAAGAAAGGGGCUCUUAGACUAUAAAGGAACUCAAAAGCAAACUGAAAUUUGCUUUACACAAAUGUGGUACACGCAGAGAGGUGACCAAGGUUACACAACUAGAAAGUAGCAGAGAUUUGAACCCACACUGCCUAACUCCAGAAUCAAUGCUCUUGACCUCUUUACUCUACAUUCUCUUUUUGACACCUAGUUCCUUCUUCUUUGAGCUUGGCAUGACUGUUUUCUGGAACAAGGACGUGGUAGGAAUUAUUCUUUGCAUGUGAAAAGUGAGAAGCACGUGAUUAUUUCUUCAUUCAUUCAUUGAAGAAUUGCCUGUGCCAGCACUGUGGCCUUUGCUGGGAUGGAUGGUACAGGGUGGAGACAGAUAUAUAAAGAAACAUGCAGACAACGUGGAAGUAGGAGUGAUCUGGAGAGGAGGUCCAGGUUGCUAUGGUAGUACGGAGGCAUCUGUCCAUGCCUUGCUCUAUCUGGUAGGGAGAGGGGCUGAGGGAUAGGCUAGAUCUACAAGGAGGGGAGCUCUGAGUGAGAUGAUGGCUAUUCCUACAGUUUUGUUUUGCUUUGGUUUGUAAGACCCAGCCACAGCCUUUGGGCAAAGUCUUUAAUGGUCAGUAAAUAAGCUUAAGUGAUUGAGAUGGACCCAUUAGCUCGUGGGUGAGGAGCGGGUGCGUGGAACCCUCUGCAGCCUCCCCAGUGGGCAGUUUCCCUCUGUGUUCCCAGCAAUCCAACAUCGUGGUUGGUUGACUCCUUCAUAUUUACAGCGGGGUCUCUGGGGUCUUCUGAAGGGUGGGGGUGAAGCUCCUCCUGGGUUUGACUCAUGUCUAUACUUGCUUUGCCUGUGGUUCUCCUGCAGGAGGUUGUGGCCAGCGAGGUGUGUCAGGACAGCUAAGGGUGGCCAGGCUGAGGGACAGCAACCUGCUCACUCUUCAGGAGAGGCCUCUGGGCUUGGCUUGUGCUCUAGGCUCACAUGGAAAGUUCCAGAAGGACAGGGUAGUCUAAGCAUCUUUCUCUGGGGGGGCUUGGCUGAAGGAAGGAAUCCUCAAGGCUACUAGCCACACUUUGGAGCAGCAGAGGUGUGCCAGUAAGGAAAGGGGACUUACUGGCAUCAGGCCCUUGAGAGGGAGCCUUGGAUAUCAGAUCUGAGGGCAGAGCCCUGUGCUCCAGAUGCGUUUGUGGGUAGGGCUGGGGUGCCAGCCCAGGAAGGCUUUAUGUGUCAGACUAAUGGAUUAAGACAGGAUCCUGCAAGCCUUGGAGAGCCAUGGAAGAAUUUUAAGUAGAAAGUGGCAUGACGAGGUUUAUGGUCUAGAAAGAUCACCCCAGCUGCAGGCGGAAGGUGGAUGGGAGGGAUGAGGCUGAAGGCAGGGAGCCUGGCUGGGAAACCACUUGAAGAGCCGGGAGAAGUACUGAAGGUGGAGACCUUCAUGAUAACAGUGGCGAUCAAGGUGGAGUUUGAGGAAGCCCUGGUGGCCAGUUGGGUAUGGGAGGGGAGAGAGGUAGAGGAGUUGGGAUGAUUCUGGGUCUAACGUGUGCAUGAAAACACAGGCAAUUAUUCAGAGGGCACUGGGCUGGCGCUGAUUGGUAAGGGAGGGUGAAAGAACUUGUAGGUGCAGAGUUGGGCAGUGAGAAACAUCAGCAGCCACAGUGUCAUCCCCAUUAAUCUCAGCCAGUGGGGAACACUGUGGUCUGAGAAGUAGAUGUGGGACGUGCAGGGAAGUGUAGUGUUUGCCCCUGUUUUAAUAGGAGCAAGAGAGCAUCACUUUAAGUAAUUCUAUUUCUGUUUUCCAAAGUACCACCAUCAAAGAAAAGAGAAUCACAACAUUGCACAAAUCUUUUAGAAAUUUGGAUGCGUUUUACAGGGUUAAUAUAGGCUGGGAGGAUUUUCUAACCCAUUUUCCCUCUGACAACCCAGUGUCUGAAUAGACAGCACCACCACCAUCUACCUUCCUGCCAAGUACCUAUUUCUGUCUGGGUCCUUGAAGACCUGGUGUGUGACACACAUUUCCGCUGAGUCUAAUGUGUUGCCGUGAUGAGAGAGUCAUACAGGGAUGAAGUUGUAUCAUUCGGCGCUUGUUGAGGGUGCCUUUUUGAACUGCAUAUCUCAGUAGAGGUGGCAGGAAAAAUCACAAAACAUCACCCCCAAAUCGCAGGGCAGGCCAAGGGAAACUUGUAGAGGCAAGAUCAGGGAUCAGUUUUCAGGGUCAAAGUGUGCUCUAAUUCUGGUAGCCCCUCAGUGCAGCCUCCGUAUUACUCAUACGAUUGCCAUGAUUCCAAAGUUUCUAAUGAAACUUGGUCAUGAAAUGAGGAACAGCAGUGUCUCCUAUUGGUAAGGUGUCACCUGCAGCUCUGCCAGCUCUUCAGUAUACACAGUGUGGGUAUGGACAAAACAAACCCAAACCACCCAGGGCCCUUGCCAUGCUAUUGUCCUAGCAUCAGGGAUGUGGGAGUCACAAGUUUCCAUGGCAACGAGGAAGAGAAACAUUUAUCCUGCACCUUCCAGGGUCCUUUGACAAGGUUACAAGGACUCUGUCUAAGCCCUUGAGAAGAUGGCUUGCUAAGGAGACAGAACUGACUAUCUCUGUUUUGAAAGUAUUGACAUGGAGGUGAGAAGAGUUUUUAGAACCACAAAAUAUGUUUAGAAUAAUCCAGUCCAACGCCUUCAGUUUUUAGAAAAAGAAACCGAGGCCCAGAGAGGUGGUGGUGGGUGGGGCUGGGGUGCCAGCCCAGAGGCCAGGCUGCAAGUGCCAGACUGGCAUCGGGGUCCCCUGUGCAGCUUCCUCUCCCCCGCCUUCCAUUGGUACUGGAAAUCCAGGUGCCCUUUACCCCUGCAAGGCACUGUGUCUGGAAACCGUAUAUCACAUUUGUUUAAAGCAUAUUCCAGUUUGCCUUUGACUUCCUUUAUUGUCUAAGAGCCCCUUUCUUCCUUAUUUCUGAUCGAUCUGCUUUUGACAACACUUUCCAACAUUUUGGUGCUAAGGUUUUGUUUUGUUUUCCUUUGCUUUCUAAGACCCAGUCACAGCCUUUUUUCCAGUCUUUGGGCAAAGUCUUUAGUGGUCAGUAAAUAAGCUUAAGUGGUUGAGACGGACCCAUUAGCUCGUGGGUGAGGAGCCGAGUGCAUGGAACCCUCCUCAGCCUCCCAAGUGGGCAGUUUCCCUCUGCAUUUCCAGCAGUUCAACAUCGUGGUUGGUUGGCUCUUUCACGUUCACAGCAGGGUCUCUGGGGUCUUCUGAGGGGUGGGCAUGAAGCUCCUCCCAGAUUCGGCCCGUGUCUAUACUUGCCUUGCCUGUGGUUUUCCUUCAGGAGGUUGUGAGCAGUGAGGUGUAUCAGGACAGCUCUCUGGAAGGGUGGCCAAGCUGAGGGACAGCAACCUGCUCACUCUUCAGGAGAGGCCUCUGGGCUUGGCUUGUGCUCUAGGCUCACAUGGAAAGUUCCAGAAGGAGAGGGUGGUCUGAGCAUCUUUCUCUGGGUGGCUUGGCUGAAGGGAAGACUGUCAGGGAUGCAGUGUGGCUUCAAGGCUGCUAGCCACACUUUGGGGCAGUAGAGGUGUGGGGGCUUACUGGCAUCAGGUCCUUGAGAGGGAGCCUUGGAUAUCAGAUCUGAGGGCAGAGCCCUGUGCUCCAGAUGCAUUUGUCCUCAGCACUGGGCCUGCACAAAGCUGGUGCACAAUUCCCAUUUGUUCAGUGACUGAAUUAACUCAUUCAGCAGACAUUAGGGCCUGCUCCCUGCCAGGCACUCCUCUAGCCCAAAGAUGUCACAGAGAACAAGACAGUUAAGGCCCUGCUCUGGAGAUGCCCACAUCCUGGGACUGAGUGAACAGGGAGGUCCACAGCCCCCCAGGGAUCUGGGGGGCACCUCUGUCGACAAAGCAUCUUCUACUGGGAUCUCUGAGGGCUGGGGUGGGAGGCCAGGCAGUGCUGUGCAGAUGGGAACCACAGCCAUGAAAUUAAAGAAGGCAGCAGCAGGAGUAAGGAGGGAGAUCAGCGGGCCUGCGAUGUACAGGCCCUGGGGCCAGGUGCUUCCCAGAUGGCGCUUCACUUAAUCCUUCCAAAGACCCAGUGAGGCCCUGUUAAGGUCCCCAUUUACAGACUGGGAAACCAGAGCACCCCUAGGAAGGGAGGACUCACUCUCAGCUCAGCCUGUGCUUCAUCCCCAGAAAGGAGCUGUGGUGAGGCCUCUGAGAGGAGUGCCACGGGCUCCAGGGCUAUUGGGUUGUUGGUGCAAGCAAGGAAAAGUUCACCCCAGUUGCUGAGGCCACGAGGUGCUUGUGGUAUGCUGGUCUCUCCCACCCUGCAGACCCAGGCCUCUGGGAGCUGGAGUCAGCCCAGCAUGUUGGCUGGUGUCCACGUCUGGGGACAGACACCCCUGGUGGCUCAGUUGAAAUGAACGUGCGGCAGAAAGAGCAGCCCUCCUCCAGCUGCUCCCUGCCAAGUAAAGGACACCCUGGCCUUAGUGAGUGGCCUUCCCAGCCCCAUCAUAGGCCUGGGGAUGGUGGUGGCAGGGCAGGCUUCCUGCAACACUGACCUUGAGCUCAGAGCCAGAGAAGUCAAGGUGUUAGAUUGGGUUUGAAUUGUCUCUGCUGCUUGCUUUUUGUGUAACCCUGAGCUAGUCACCCAUUCUUCCAGCCUGAAUUUCACCCUCUGCAAGACAAGAUCGAUGAUAACUCAAGCACGGGGGUGUGAUAAGAGUUAACAUAAAUAAGAUUAGUAAAACACUCAGCAGUGUCUGUCAUGUAGUAAAUGCUCAGUAAUUGGUAGUCAUCAUUAUUGUUGUUAUUAUAUUAUAGUUAUAUUAGAUUAAAAUUGGUCAUGGAACUGGGCUGGGCUGUAACUCAUCCUUUAUUUGGAGGCCGAGUCAUAUUUCCCAAGGAUGCACAGUGCACAGAUUCUCACAGCAAAUAGAGCUGUCAGAUUUUUAUGGCAGAGAAUUCCAAACUUCGUUGUAAUCAGAACAUCUGAAAAGCUUGUUAAAAAUUCAGGGUUUUGGGUUUUGCCCCGUUCUAUUCCUUCCUGAGAGAUUCUGAUCAUGCAUCCAGGGUGAGGUCCUAAAUCAACAUUUUUAAUAAAAUCCGGAGAUGGUUCUGUUGUGGGAAGUCCAAGGACUGGGUUUUGGGAAACAGUGUUUUCUAACCUGCUUCCUCCAGACCCAGUCAGCUUAGGGAUGACUUUCUCCACGGCUGGGCUAUUUCUGUCUAGUCACUAGGGCCUGUAGUCUUCAGUGAAGCUCCUGUUCUCUGGGCAGCCCUGGAGACACACGGACACAUCCUUUCUUCUCAGCUCCCUGUCUAGACACCAUGCAGACCUACAAAAUCUUUUCUCCUUAUAAAACAUGAUUGCCUGUAUCCUGGUGACCACAUUUUCUAAAUUCUCCAAAGAAUUAUGGUUAAAGGAUUUUUUCUCUGGCUUGUGAAUUCAUCUCAAAAGCCUUACAAAGGUAAAGCAAUAUAUUUAUAUUGAUUUGUAUAUUGAAUAGAUUCCUAGGAAAUGCAGAGUAGGGUAGCACAGUGGUUAAAAAUGCAGACUGACUCACAGCUCCAGCCCUGAUUAGCUGUGUGACCUCAGGCAAGCUGUGUGAUCUCUCAGUGCCUCGGUUCCCUCAUGUUUGGAACAGGAGUAACAGCAAUGCCUCUCCCAUAGAAUUAUUAUGAAGAUCAGCAGAGUUGAUCUGGAUAAAGCACUUACAACAGUGUCUGACCAUAGUGAGCAGUGUAUUCAUUUUUAUAUAAAACAUAAAACAUUCUGCUCACUGUACAGAGUAAAAAUGUAACUGCAUGAGAUGGCCUGGACAAAUCCGGGAAGCACCAGCACCACACACAUUUGAGCAAAUUAAAUAAGAAACUUAGGUAGUGGUGCUGCCUGGCUUUGGCCAAGCCCUGUUCUUUUUUUGCCUUAACAUUCUGCCUUGAAGCACCACUUUGUGAAGCUCUGGUCAUUGUUUUUGCAAAGUAGGAAUGCACAAGGCAUAACAAUGGUGUGCACCUACCACAUGAAGUGAAGCUGAACGUCACUUUGCUAAACCCAAUUAGCAGAGUCCGUAAGUCCUUCUCUUUAGAGACUCAUUCUAGCUGUGAUCUAUGUAAGUGGCAUGCAGGGACCAGGAGGCUUUUUUGUUUGUGUCAGUUUUCAUUUCUAGGAUAUGGAGUUGCUGAAGGUCUUGGUGGGUUUCAUCAACUAUGGAGCUGUAGAGGAAGAAGCUGAUGUCAGGAAGGCAGAAGUUAUCAGAGGCCAGAGCAGCAGCAUCUGAUCAGAUCCUAGUGAGGUGUGAGGAUGGCAGGCCCUAGUUUUCUCCCUCAUACUUUCCUCUGUGGGUAGAGUCACCUUGACUCUCUUGGGAGGCAGGAUAGAAACCUGGCUUAGCACUUGGGCUUUGGAGCAGACAGACCUAGUUGAACAACCUGGCCCUGAAUCUACCAGUUGUUUGAUCUUGGGAACUUUGUUUGCUAACCAGUCCAGUCCUAUUCUGUAAAAUACAGAUAAUGAUAGUACCCAUGUCACUGAGCUGUUGGAUUGAGUUCAGUGAGGAAAUGUAUAGAAAAUGCCUGGAACUCAAUAAAUGAAAGCUUUGAUUAUUAGUAUUGCUGAGUGGUCUUUUCCAUGUGUCCAGUUUAGCCCAAGGUCUUGAUAAUUUCGUGUCAUUUCCUCUACAGGCCCCUUAAAAGUGUGGUCAGGAAUAGCUGGAGAGAGAACCUAGGUUGAAAGAUCUGCUUGCUUAGACUAAACCAUGAAUUACUGUAUAUAUGUUUGGAUGGGAAAUGGGUGGAGGACUUGGACCUCCGUGGAUAGGGACCCCCCUCCACAUGGGAAAGGCCCUCCUUGUGAUUUCACACUGCCUCUGUGGGGACUCCAGAGGCAGUUACAGGAAGUGAGGAACAGGCAGAAAAGCAUGUCUAAGCCAGCAGGGCACUGUGAGGCCCCAGGGAGCAGGACAGAGCAUGGCAUACAAUGGUCCCCAGGGAAGAUGCAGGAGGAAGGUGGGAGCCUGGCAGGAAAUGCAUCUACUGGGCAGGCUGCAGCUGAAAGCACCCACACUCCCUGGAGGAAGUCACACGAUCCAGGCAGGAGGGCAAACCUAGCAGGGGUUGGCUGUGGAAGCGUGGCUGGCUGCGUGGUCAGAAGUUCUGGCCAACGGCAUCUGAGCCCAGCCUGUGGGCUGGGGACAGGGCAGGGUUCUCUUCCCUGGGAAAGAGCUGGCAUGAACUUGGUAGCCCUUCUGUGGAAAAUGGAGCCCAUGAGAACCAGGAGUCAGAACUUGGCCUAGGACAUCAGAACUUGGCCUCCAUGGACAACAACGGCAGCACAGAAAAGAAUAACACUGGCGGUUGCAUCUGUUGCUUUGCUAUGUGCUUCAAAUCACAUUAUUUCAAAUAAUCUUCACACCAACUCAAUGCAGAAAAUAUUAUCACCAUGUGACUGUGUAAACUGAGGCUCAUCUAAGUUAACUGACUUGCCUUGUGUUGCAGAGCUGCUCAAUGGCAGAACCAGGGGUCACCGUGUCUGCUCAGUCAGUAUCUCAUGCUUUUACUCAUGGUACCAGAGUGCCCUGGUCUCCAGCUGGCCGGGGGCCAGGGUCUGCCUCACCAGCAGCUGUUCACACUCAUUCUUUUUGUAUUAUGUAAAAAGCACUGCACUGUGGGCCGAGAGCCAUGCAGAUACUCCAUGGGACUUUGGAAGGGAUCUGAUGAAGUUCCUUAUUCAAUUUCCUCAAUUUAAAGACAAGGAAAUGGCAGUUCAGAGAGGCUAACAGCUUUGCCUGUGGUCACUCAGCAAGGCAGUAGUGGAGCCAGGACCCAAACAAGGUCUACUGGCUCCCUGCCCCACGGCAGCCCUGCUGCAUUGUGCUGUUUUCCUCCCAUGCUGCAGAGGACGUGGGCAGACUGCUGCAGGCUGCAUGUGCUGCUGCUGCUGCAUGAGGAACAUCAACAGAAUCCAGCAUUUAAAGGCCACCAGCAUAUCUUGAGGGACAGGUGGCAGGAGUAAUUUGUGUCUGCAGUUGUCUUUGUAAACCCAGCAUGGAGAACAUAUCAAGAAGCCAGCAAGAACUGCACAGGUUCUAUUUGUCUGCUAAUUAGAAUGAAGUAAGUGCCAAUGGAAAAUGGAUUGAGGAAAAGGUGGAAAUUUUCAAGUCACAUAGGAUGGCAGGAGGGGUGGCGAUCUGAUGUCUUGGGCGAGGAUAGACCUGUAUCUCAGUGUGUAUGUCUGUGGCUCUGGCUCGGCUAUUGCUCUCAUCUGUCUCCCUGGCUGACUAAGCAUCUUGAGGACAAGACUGUGUUAUAUUCACUUUCACAUCAGCAGCAUCCAGCACAGAGUCUGGCAUGGAGUUGGCAUUGAGCAAAUGUUUGUUGACUGACUGAAUAAUUGAAACCCAUUACUCAAGAUAAGAGUGAGACAAAAUGGCUGGUGAGUUGCUCUUUCUCCUUUCGUAUUAUGCCUACCAUGGGCUAAUACUUCCUCCUUUAGAGGGUUCUGGCAGAUCUCAUGGUCAUUGUGUGUCUCUUUGAAUAUCGGCCUCCCUUAGGGGCCAUCAGGUUGGCGAUAGGAGUCACCAUUGGAGUUUGUUAGUUCUGACCAGCUGUGGUCAAAGGCCUGAACCAGUUGCCCAUGGCCAAGGGCCUGGACACCAAAGUCCGGUUGCCCUAGUUCAAGUCUUGGCUUCAUCACUUUCCAUGACCUUGGGCAAGCCACUUGACCUCUAUAAGCCUCAGUGUCCUGAUCUGUGACAUAGGGGUGCUAGUAUAGGGUGUGAUGAGGCUGCAUGAGAUGAUGCAUAGUGCUGGCACAUAGCAACACAUCUCAAUCCAUGUUAGGUCUUGUACUAUAAUUCCCUGAGGGGCUGGGAUACAUGACAGACCCAGCCCUACUCCGUCUGCCAGGCAGGCAGUAAGCAAGCCAUGGCCCUGUGCCAUGUCGCCUUUGUUUAGAAGCACAAAGGAGAGCAGGAGACAAUGAGGCAGAGAGAAGAGGCAUCUAUUAGGAAUGGCACUGGGAGAAAAUAUCAGAUACACAGACGUGCACCGGGGCAGGCCAAUGAUUGGAUAACAUUUUUGUUCUGUUUCUUUUAUCCAUAACUUAGUUAUUUAAAGUGCAGGAAAAAAAAAAAAGCCAGAAUACACUGUUUCAUUUGUACAAAUAAGGAUUAUAAAUAGCUGUUGUGGAGAGGAGGUAGAGUAGGAGGCAGUGUGGAGAGAGUGGAGUGCCACGGUGAGCCCUGACUCACUGCCGUGGGGGCCGGGGUCCUGUUGGUCUGGAGACAGUACAUGUGUCUGUCUCUGAGCGAAAAUGUCGCCUCACUCCUGGUGGCUCCUUAGGGAGACCUACAUGGAUAAAGAGCACUGUGGCAUUGGAACAGGCUUGGAGGGCAUUAGUAUCAGAAGGUAUGGCAAAGACAGUAGGAUUUGGAACAAGGCAGACCUGGGUACCUGGGUUUGGAUCCUGGCUUCCUCAUUGACCAGCUGUGAGACUGCUGGCAAGUUGGCUGGGCUCAGCUUCUUCUCUGUAGCCUGCAGGUGAUGACAGAUCACUAACAGGGUGCCCUGAGGAUGAAACAAGCCUCAGAAGCUACUUCAUUCCUGGUGGCAGCUCAACAGAACAGGAGUUCAUUGCCAACUUUGGCAUGAUAGGCAGGUAUUUCUGAGGCCAGACAGCUGUAACAUUUUCUGGGUUCUGGAGAUUACCUAAGGGCUGGGGAGUAACAUGGAUUGGGGGUGAGGGGGGCAGGGCAAUGCACUGGUUAGUCUGAGGGGGCAGAUGUACCCAGACCCCACUUUGACCUCUGAACAGGUCUCAAACUUUGAGCCAUCUGACCUUCCAAAGAAUUAGGCCAGUAAUUAUUAUUAUGACAAUUAUUUAGCACCCUUGUUGCCAUCCAGGUAAUUACCUGGCAUUUUAGUUUCCAUCAGCAGCAUAGACUGUCUGCAAAUUAUCUGCUGUUGAAUGCUCGCCCUGGCCUUGCCAAGAGAGUAGGCUGAGGGAUGUGUUAGCAACUCAGUCUUUCUGAGGCUCCAAUUCUCAACCAUGCGUCAAUCAGAAAGCCCUUGUCCUGGAAUUUAAUAUCAUGCAUGGCUUUGACCAAGGGCCAGCCUUGAAGCAGCUCAGUGAGAAGCCCUCUGUGUUUUUCCAGGACUGCAGCCAUAGACAUAUUCCAUUAUGUUGUUCAAGAUGAUCUGAGCUCAGGCAUUGACCAGCUUGGCUCUCUUCAUGACUGGUGAGCUUUGUCUUUGUCUUUAAGAAUGCAAUUGGAUUUUCUUCUUAGCUUCAGUUCAGUUUUAUGAGCAUUGAUUGAGUGCCCACCGUGUGGCCAUGAUUAUGUUCUGUGUAAGGAGACUGAGAAAUAGCGCAGGGGAGUGGAAAGAGCCAGGGCUUGAACUCACCUGUGGCUGAACGCCUCUCACUGCUCAUUAGCUGUGUGCCUUCAAGAUAGUUAUCUGAAGCCUCUGAGCCUUGGUUUCUCACUUGUAAAAAGAGAUGAACAAUGAUCUACGUGGUUUUUAGAAUGGAGAAGUGGUUGUAAAGUCCGUGCUCCAGCUCAGGUACUCAAUGAAUGAUAGUCAUCUUUUCCUGUUGUUCCUCUCUCCUCUCCCCUCCCUUCCUCUUCCCUGCUUUCUCCUACUUUUUUUUUUUUUUCCUUGCCCUCCAGGAACUUAGUGUUGAGCUGUUGGGCCAGGUGGAGACCUAGGUUAAUCAUUUCAAAAUGGUGUCAAAAUGGGAGUAAAUGGGGCACUCUGGGAUUCAGAGAUGGAUGCCCAAAGAUAGUUUUCUCGCUGUCAGCCUUGCAAGUUCAGGGAAAAGGUGUAUCCUAUGCACGUGUUCAUGACACACGCACAUACACAGCUGCAAAUGUGUAGAGACUGCAGGUUUAUAGUACCUGCACUCACACACACGUGUGUAUACAUACACAAAACACAUACAUAUCCUCACCUAUCAGAAGGGCCCUGACCCAAAGCAGCAUACACCCCAGUUGUUUACAUGAAAGGAUCACAGUGAACAGAUUGAGCCAGAGUUAAGGGAGCAAGUGAGAGGGUGAGAGACCCGGAGACUCACAGCAGGAGGGAGCUCUUGUUACACCUAGGGCUGGCUGGACAAGGGGAGAACUAGUGUUACCAGGGUAGGGUAGGAACCAAAGCUUUGGAAGCGAUGCUGCCUGGUGCAAGGUACAGUCACUGUGGAGACGUGGACCCAAAGCACUGCAGGAGAGGAAGAAAUACCCUGACCGCUCUGCUACCCUGUGAUCCCCUAUGGAUGGCUUCCCUUGGCUGAGCCUUACUGAGGAGGCUGGGUGCUGCAUAGGCAGGGGCCUCCUUCCUGGGCACAGAGCCUGGCAGAGAAAGGGGGAAAGUAACCAGCCCAAUGUGUAUACACUUGUGUACACUCAUGUAUAGGCAAGCACAGGUUGUCUGAGCUUCUUCCUCCAGGGCACUCAGGAUUGGGGAAGGAAGAGGGGAACAGGCAGGGGUGGUGCAGCUGGCAUGACUUCCAAGCCCCUCCCACAUGUCUGCAAUGCUGGCAGGGUUCCUAGACCUGUGCUGUGGACGGGGCUUCCUGCAGGGUUUUCUCAAAGCCUGUAUACUGUGCUGCCUCAGUUGCUUAUGAGAAACCUUGAUUGGCUUCUACACUGCCUGGCUGUUGCUGAAGGCAGUUAUGGAUUUACACAUAUUCAGGAUAAAUCCCCGUGUAGUGUCUUUCCCUUUCUACUCCAGCAGCACACUCAGGAGGGGUGAGAGGUACAGUGCAGGUAGCAGGCAAUGGCCUGUAGCAGGCAGGGGGCUUGUCCUCAGAGUAGGCCCCAGCCUGGGGCGCGGGCAUGGCAUCACAGUGUUGUCCUCAGUGAGUGCCUAGUUCCUGCCUUUGUUUCCUCGAGGCCCCCAGAGGCUGUGGUAGGCUCUCUCCCACUUGACCCUACCUCCUUGGCUCUGCCCUUUUCCAGUGCUGCUAGUCUCAGUAGGACUUUUGCCAGGAAGUGGGAGCUGGUGGCUCCAGGCUGAGCUUCUGUGGGGCACCCAGUGGACAGUACGUCUGUGGUGCUGGUUGACAAGAGAACUCUGUGCUCUCCACCCAGCAGCACAGCUGACCAGAGUGGCUGUGUGUUGUGAACACUGAAGGGCUCUACAGGUGACUUUGUCCAAGUGCUGGGCAGGUAGAAUGGAGGUCAGGAACUUGGCCUCCAGUCCCAGGUCUGUGCGGUCUGGGAGGUCUGGAGAACUCCUUAGUCUUUUGCCCGCCUUUUCUUUUCCUCUGGAGGAUGCCUGUGGCACGCCUGUUUGGAUCCGAUGGACUUCCAGAAGGGUUAACUGAAAAAUGCAUUCCAGAUCACAAAGCUCAUGGGUCUGUCCUGCCCACUGGCGUGUUGAGCAGGGUCUGCCCAGAGUGCUGUAUGGAUUCAGGUCCAGUUGAUGUUGCCCUGAUGACUGCUGACAGCACCCACGGCUUGAAGGUGUCUCCUGGAGGCAGAGACAGGGCCCCGUCAGCAGCCCGGGGAAGAGGACAACCUUCCUGUUUGCUGUGGACAGAGGGCAUUUGUUCACUUAAAAAAAAUGCCUUAAGUUAUUAAGUGCAUGCUGAAGAUGGCAGGAAUCUAGGGGCCCCUUCCCCACUCUGUCUGAGUUGCUUUAGGGCUGGAAUUUGCUUGCUCCAGCCUUCCCUCCUCUCUGGCUGGCCUGGCCUCCUUGCUAGAGGCAUCACAAGCCCGUGCAUGUGAAUGAACCUGUGCUGGGGAGGAGGGGAUGGAGGGCCUGGCCCUGGGGCACAGUUAAGGCGUUGACUUCAAGAAAAGCUGCUCACGUGGGAUGUCAGUAUGUCUGUGAUACCUGAGCUGUCUCCCAGCUGCCUUGCUCAAGCACCCUUCCGUGCUGAGGACUGGACUCUGAAGAACUUCAGGAAGAUGCAGGAAUGUUUCUGUAGAAGAAUUCAUACUGAGUAUGAAAGCCAAAGACAGUUAAACCUGGGUAAAGACAUAUAGUCAUGUACACACUCACACACAUACACACUAACACGCAUACACACUCAUACAUAUGUAGUCACUCUCUCAGACGCUCACAGACAUACUCAUACACAUUCACACAUAGGUACACAUGCAUACAUAGGCACAUGCUCAUAUACAGUCUCUCUCCUUCCCCCUCUAACAUGCAUGUGCACACAUUGCAGCAAACAUGAUCUGCAUAUGUCUGUGUGUGUGAAUGUGUAUAAGGAGAUUAUUAUAAAGAAUUGGCUUACACUAUUACUGAGGCGGAGCAGCCCCAAGAUCUGCAGUUGGCAAGCUGGAGGUCUAUGGGAGACCAUGAUGUAGUUCUGAGUCUGAAGGCCUGAGAAUAAGGAGAGCAGAUGGUAUAAGUUCCAGUCCAAAAGCUGGCAGGCUUGAGACCCAAGAACAAAUGUUCAGUUCAAGUUUGAAAGCAGGAAGAGUCCAGUGUUCCAGCCCAAACAGUCAUGCAGGAGGGGUUCACUCAUUCAUAGAAGGGUCAGCCUUUUGUUCUAUUCAGGUAGGUCUUCAACAGAUUGGAUGAAGGCCACCUACAUAUAGUCAAUCUACUGAUUCAAAUGUUCAUCUCAUCCAAAAACACCCUGAGGCAUAUCCAGAAUAAUGUUUGACCAAAUAUCUGGGCACCCCAUGGCCCAGACAAGUUGACACAUGAAAUCACAUCUGGUACCUGGUGACUUCAUGCAUUAAUAGGUGUCCUGGUGCAACACAGGGCAGGCACUAGUAAUACCUCCUGGAACUUUUGGUCAACCCCUGGAAUACAGAAGAGGUUGUUAUCUUGGAUGGGCCCUUUAGUCAUGGAGCUAGCCAGGUGUCUUGGCCAAGCCCCACACUAGCCUUGAGGACCUCUCGCAGUAGCAGAAUGUCAAAGCUCUGCCCAUCAGCUUGUCUGAAAUGACACUUCUUAUCUUUCACCUGUUCACUCCCUGGGUUUAACAGCAAUUUUUGCCCCAUGGUUUGCACCAAAAGCUUGGGCAUUUUCUUUGAAACUCCCAUGCCCUCUUCCCUUAUAUCCUUUUUGAAUCAAGUCCUGCCAGUUUCUUCCUUUUUAAUAUUUCAUUCUCAAAUCUAUCACUUUUCUCUCUCUGCCCAUUAGUAUCACCUGGGUCCUAGCUCCCAUCAUGUCUUUCUACUUUCCUGCACCUACCUCCUCAGUGGUUCCCUUGUUCUCAGUCUUGCCCCACCUAGCCCAUCAUCCACAUGUUUGUCAGGGAGAUUUGUGAACAAAAAGAUCUGACAGUAUCAGUCUCUGAUUAAUUCCCCUUAUCACUUUCUCAUUGCUUUGUAGAGUUUGCAAGCUGAUUCCCUAAAGGCCAAAUGCAGCUCACAGUUACAUAAUCUGAUUGCCUUUACAACUGAAGAAAGACAAUGAAAGAAGUAACUAUACAUGCCAGAAAGGGAGCAGCAGCUGCAUUUUUAAAGGAGCAUCAAAGACCCCAGGAGUCUACUUGCUGCCUCACAGGAAGCCAGCCCACAACAUCCCCUUGCACGCCACACAGGCCCUGGGUCAUCUCUGGGACUGUUCAGGUCUGCUCGAGUUGAAGUGAGAGAAAGAAGGAUGCGGAGAGAGGGAAGGAAGGAGGGGGAGAGAGAGAACUUAAAUGUGGUAAGAUGUUAAUAAUUGAUUAAUCUAGAUGAAAAUUAUACAGAUGUUCAUUGUGCACUCUUACAACUUUUCUACAGGGUUGAAUUUUUAGAAUUAAUAUGCUAAAACAGAGCAACAGCAACUCUUUGUGUAGCAAUAUAGAACAAUGUAUGUGCUUAGAACUGUGAACUCAAAUUGGCAUGAAGUUAACCUCACAUGCAGUUAAGCUACCCUGGGCCAAACGUACAUAUCCCUUGCUUAAUAAAAGAGAUGUGCACUAUAAAUUGGCUGCAAAGUGGAUUGUGGUAGUUGAUCCUGUUUUCUCACUGGUUUCCAUUAAAAAGUGGGGAAUAAGGUCUAAUAGAUAGAGGUGAAAAGGUUUGCUAAGAGAAGGGUUUCCCAUGAACUGUCACUCUAUGGCAUGCAUCCCUGGGGGUAUUUGUAAGAGUUUUAGGUAGACAUUUUCUUGGUUACAUACUUUGAUUCCCCUAGUGUUUUCUUCAGUUUCCUCUUGCUAAGGUAAUGUGUUCUGCUGUGCUUGGAGGUUUCUAAUCGCCCAUCCCCACCUACUUAUAGCAGCCCCUUGGACAGUGUUCCCAGCAGGUCUCUCCUCUCACCAGGUCUAGGAGGAAUAGGCUGCCAUGUCACUCAUUGUCAGUAAGCGUCAGUGAUCAACAGCUUUAACAUUCCCUAAGUCUGAAGCUUCAGGGUCUGGAGAAGAUAUCAGUAAUCUAUCUUAUCAAUCCUGUGAACUAAAAUUCAUUUAAUGUAUUUAAAACCAAAGGAUACUUUUAGAGAAAUUAACAUUCUGGGUCUUUCACAUUGCACCCAUAGGUAACACCUCAAAUGGCCUUGGAUUAUUCAAAAACAAUAUUGGAAACUAGAAAAAGAUAGAGCAAGGACUUUAACAUUCUAAGGGAAAAUAAUUUUCAGUUUGGGAUUCUAUACCCUCCUAAACUACUAAGUGUGAAUGCGGAAUAAAGUUAUUGUUUUAAAUUCACAGCAGAAGAGGGGUGGGGAGGGGAGGCAAAAUAUAUUUGUGAAAGAGAGUUAAAACUUUACCUUCUGUUAGAGAAAGUCAAUAGAAAAUGCUUACAACUGAAAAAAAAAAAAAAGUCAGGAAGAAG